CUUGCGGUAGGUGGCGAUCUCCACAUCCAGGGCCAGCUUGACAUUCAUCAGCUCCUGGUACUCCUUCAGCAGCCGGGCCAGCUUGACAUUCAUCAGCUCCUGGUACUCCUUCAGCAGCCGGGCCAGGUCCUGCUUGGCCUUCUGCAGGGCAUCCUCCAGCCCUUCCAGCUUGUUCUUGGCAUCCUUGAGGGCCAUCUCCCCACGCUGCUCAGCAUCAGCAAUGGCGGCCUGCAGGUUGGCGCACUGG
Molecule: long non-coding RNA, 247 nt
Filed under: Homo sapiens (human)
Lineage: Eukaryota; Metazoa; Chordata; Mammalia; Primates; Hominidae
Description: HSALNT0189208
Source: RNAcentral